RNAcentral lists this ribosomal RNA (2328 nucleotides) under Luminiphilus sp. RNAcentral describes it as "partial 23S ribosomal RNA". It matches the Rfam family "Bacterial large subunit ribosomal RNA", at positions 574 to 2925 of the family's 2925-position model. Lineage: Bacteria; Pseudomonadati; Pseudomonadota; Gammaproteobacteria; Cellvibrionales; Halieaceae. The record is from RNAcentral.
UGGGAGCCCUUCGGGGUGACUGCGUACCUUUUGUAUAAUGGGUCAGCGACUUAUUGUCUGUAGCAAGCUUAACCAUCUAGGGGAGGCGUAGGGAAACCGAGUCUUAAUAGGGCGCUCAGUUGCAGGCAAUAGACCCGAAACCGGGCGAUCUAUCCAUGGCCAGGUUGAAGGUGCCGUAACAGGCACUGGAGGACCGAACCCACUAACGUUGAAAAGUUAGGGGAUGAGCUGUGGAUCGGAGUGAAAGGCUAAUCAAGCCCGGAGAUAGCUGGUUCUCCUCGAAAUCUAUUUAGGUAGAGCGUCGUGUCUUACCCUGGGGGGUAGAGCACUGUUUGGGCUAGGGGGUCAUCCCGACUUACCAACCCCAUGCAAACUCCGAAUACCCAGGAGUACAAUCACGGCAGACAGACGGCGGGUGCUAACGUCCGUCGUCAAGAGGGAAACAACCCAGACCGCCAGCUAAGGUCCCUAAUACCAGUUAAGUGGGAAACGAUGUGGGAAGGCUCAGACAGCUAGGAGGUUGGCUUAGAAGCAGCCAUCCUUUAAAGAAAGCGUAAUAGCUCACUAGUCGAGUCGGCCUGCGCGGAAGAUGUAACGGGGCUAAAUUGGUAACCGAAGCUGCGGAUGCAUGCUUGCAUGCAUGGUAGAGGAGCGUUCUGUAAGCCGUUGAAGGUGAACCGGGAGGUUUGCUGGAGGUAUCAGAAGUGCGAAUGCUGACAUGAGUAACGAUAAGGGGGGGUGAAAAACCUCCCCGCCGGAAGAUCAAGGUUUCCUGCGCAACGCUAAUCGGCGCAGGGUGAGUCGGCCCCUAAGGCGAGGGCGAAAGCCGUAGUCGAUGGGAAGCAGGUUAAUAUUCCUGCACUUUUUCUUACUGCGAUGGAGGGACGGAGAAGGCUAGGCCAGCAGGGCGAUGGUUGUCCCUGUUUAAGGUGGUAGGCUGAAUUCUUAGGUAAAUCCGGGAAUUUAAGGCCGAGGACUGAUGACGAGCACCCAAGGGUGCGAAGUGGUUGAUGCCAUGCUUCCAAGAAAAGCUUCUAAGCUUCAGGUAAGAAAGAACCGUACUGUAAACCGACACAGGUGAUCAGGUAGAGAAUACCAAGGCGCUUGAGAGAACUCGGGUGAAGGAACUAGGCAAAAUGGUACCGUAACUUCGGGAGAAGGUACGCCGGCUUUGGUGAUGGGACUUGCUCCCUAAGCUGAGGCCGGCCGAAGUGACCAGUUGGCUGCGACUGUUUAUUAAAAACACAGCACUCUGCAAACACGAAAGUGGACGUAUAGGGUGUGACGCCUGCCCGGUGCCGGAAGGUUAAUUGAUGGGGUUAUCUUCGGAGAAGCUCUUGAUCGAAGCCCCGGUAAACGGCGGCCGUAACUAUAACGGUCCUAAGGUAGCGAAAUUCCUUGUCGGGUAAGUUCCGACCUGCACGAAUGGCGUAACGAUGGCCAAACUGUCUCCACCCGAGACUCAGUGAAAUUGAAAUCGCUGUUAAGAUGCAGUGUACCCGCGGCUAGACGGAAAGACCCCGUGAACCUUUACUAUAGCUUCACAUUGGACUUUGACCUUAUUUGUGUAGGAUAGCUGGGAGGCUUUGAAGCAAUGGCGCUAGCUGUUGUGGAGCCAACCUUGAAAUACCAGCCUGAUAAUGUUGAGGUUCUAACCUAGGCCCGUAAUCCGGGUCGGGGACAAUGUGUGGUGGGUAGUUUGACUGGGGCGGUCUCCUCCUAAAGAGUAACGGAGGAGCACGAAGGUGCGCUAAUCACGGUCGGAAAUCGUGAGGUUAGUGUAAAGGCACAAGCGCGCUUGACUGCGAGUCUGACAAGACGAGCAGGUACGAAAGUAGGUCUUAGUGAUCCGGUGGUUCUGUAUGGAAGGGCCAUCGCUCAACGGAUAAAAGGUACUCCGGGGAUAACAGGCUGAUACCGCCCAGUCAAACUACCCAUCACAUCCUGGGGCUGAAGCCGGUCCCAAGGGUAUGGCUGUUCGCCAUUUAAAGUGGUACGCGAGCUGGGUUUAGAACGUCGUGAGACAGUUCGGUCCCUAUCUGCCGUGGGCGUUGGAGAAUUGAGGGAAGCUGCUCCUAGUACGAGAGGACCGGAGUGGACGAACCUCUGGUGUUCCGGUUGUGACGCCAGUCGCAUUGCCGGGUAGCUACGUUCGGAAAGGAUAACCGCUGAAAGCAUCUAAGCGGGAAGCCCCUCCCAAGACUAGUUCUCCCCGACCCCUUGAGGGUCCUGAAGAGCCGUCCAAGACUAGGACGUUGAUAGGCUGGGUGUGGAAGCGCUGUGAGGCGUUGAGCUAACCAGUACUAAUUGCUCGUGCGGCUUGACCAU